AUGGCGUUAGUACGUGGUCUUUGGUUGCCAAGUAGUUUGGACAUGAUGACAGGGCCAAUUUGGCCAUCUAUUGAGGCCGAAAAUUUUGAGUUGAGGCCUGGACUUAUUGCUCUCAUCUUGCAGAAUCAGUUUAGAGGAUUACUCAAUGAAGACCCUCAUGAGCACAUUAGUAAUGUUCUGGAGUAUGCUAAUACAGUCCAGUAUCAUGGCGUUUCCCAAGAUACUAUCAAGUGUAUGUUGUUCACAUUCUCUCUCAGAGAUGCUGCUAAGGACUGGUACUAUUCUUUGCCAUCAAGAUCAUACACUUGGGGUGAUAUUUCACAAGCUUUCCUGCAUAGAUAUUUUCCACUUUACAAGCAAGCUGCAAUUCGUGACCAGAUCCUCAGUUUUGCGCAAGAUGGUAGUGAGAGCUUGUAUGCAACUUGGGAGAGAUAUAAGUAUUUGCUUAGAAAAUGUCCUAAUCAUGGGCAAAAGGAUUGGUUAGUGCUUCAGAUAUUCUAUAGAGGGAUGACACAUGCUUCAAGAGAUCUUAUUGAUAUGUCAGCUGGUGGAACAAUCAUGAACAAGACCGUCGAGGGUGCAAUUAUUCUCAUUGAGAGCAUUGCCUUCCACCAAAUGCAAUCGGGUUAUGAAAGGCCUAGUUCAAAUCCGAAGGUUGCAAGCCUCGUGCAAUCAGAAGCUGUGUGUUCCAUAAGUGAACAGAAAUCAUCCAUGGUGCCUAAUAUUCAAAACCAACAUGUGUCAUUCCGGGGACAACAACAUUUUAGAACUGAAUUAGAUCCUCCAUAUAGAAAGAUUGAUCUUACUUCAAUUAUCCUUGAUGAUGAUUAUGAUAUUUUUCAAGAUGAUGAAACUACUGCAGAUCAGAUGGAAACCACAGUAGCAGAUCGAAUACCUUAUGGCAAUGAAACUGUCCAGAAUGAGUCAAAGUUGCAAGAAGAUGUUUAUGAGGAACCUAAUCUGAUUGAUGCUAAGUUGAGACAGCAAGAUAUGGAGAAAUUCACUUGUGUUAGUCAACUAUGUGACUGGUGGAAUUUAGUCGUGUCACCAAUUGCCCACACUUGUGUUACAACUGUAUCUGGGAUAUUUGUCAAGAAGAAAUCUUUAGCUCCACCGGUGGUUGCCUCUAUCUCAGUUAAAGAGAGUAUCUCAGAGAAGAAUAGUGAAGAUGAGAUUCCAACUCCUGCACAUACAUCUAAGCAAGUCGGAGACAUUCCAAGGAGAGAGAUACAAGAGGUUGAGUCAAAUUUAGAAGAGUUGAUACUUCAAUAUCCUGAGAAGAUCCCACGUGUUGCUGAGCUGCAUGACUGGUGGAAGUCAUCAGUGUCAUUGUUGAAACUUAGCAGUGAUGGUGAUGAGGAGAAUAUUGCUCAGAAAGACAGCGAGACUCAAUUAGGUGUUGCUGGUAUUAGCACCAUAGAAGAUCCAGAGGAAGAGAGAUCUCAACUAGAAGAAGAAAUACUCGAAGACGAGGAACAAGAUGAUCUAGAGCUCGAACAACCAAGUGAUCAAGUUGAAGAUUCAUCAUCUACUACUCCUGAAGAAGUAGAAGAAGCUGUUGUAGUUGAAGAUGAAGAACCAGAAAUUCAAUUGCCUAUCAUCAUACAAGAGUGUGAGAUUGCAGGUUUAUCUAAUCCUCUCAAUGGCAUGUCCCCAUAUGAAUUGUUUGCUACUACCUUGCAUUGCAUGAUGCCAUCUGUUAAAGUAGAUUUGAAAAAGUUCGAGGUGACAUUCCUUGGGACCCUGGUGGACUCAGAGCAUGGGGAUGAGGAGAAGCAAGGGGGCACACACGAGGAAGGGAGAAGCUGGAGCAGGCAUGAGGAUAGAGAAGCAAAAGGAGAGGAGCUGCAGUUGGUGUAUACCAUGUUCUCGGGAUCGGUGAAAAGUGCGCAAAGGCACUAUAAUCUCCAAGAUUCGGACGAAUUGGCCAUUGAGAAGAGAGAAGGGCAGGAAAGAGGUGAAGAAAGGGACCUGAGCAUGAAGGAAAGAAGAAACCGGGGGCCAAAACUAAAGAUGGAGGGGAUCGACUUGGGAAGAAAGAAGGAAAGGAGGAGGGCCAAAUUGCAAUAUGGGCUGAUCAACCGUGGGGUCAAAAUCCCUAGAUGCCUUCAUCCCCAAAGGAGCCCGGCAUCUCCAUCUCUCUCCCCCUCACCACUUCUUCUCCCACCUUCGGCCGCCAUCACGGCCAGGCCAUCGUGGCGGCGCGCCUCCGGACUUUGCUGCUCCACCAGCACCUUCACCCACCAGCACCACAUCAUCCAGCCACCACUCCACUUCGUCGCCGCGCCUGGCGCGCCCGACCAGACAGGUGUCUGGUUCCCCGCGCCACCUGUUGCUGCUCUCUCCCUCUCCGCUGCUCCUCCCCUCGUCUCCACUUCCUCUGCUUCUCUUCUUCUUCUCCUAACCCUGCUAUUGCUCUUCUUCUUCUCUCAAUGCUCCUGCUGCUCCUUCUACUUGCAUCCCCUUGCUGUUGUUGCCUCAACCUGCCGCUUCUUCUCCAAUCCCCACGCUGCUCCUAUUCCCUUUCCUUGCUGGUGUUCCUUUACUGAAGAAAACAACCUACCGUUGUUCUUUACUUGUUGCUGA
Molecule: ribosomal RNA, 2586 nt
Filed under: Triticum aestivum (bread wheat)
Lineage: Eukaryota; Viridiplantae; Streptophyta; Magnoliopsida; Poales; Poaceae
Description: partial small subunit ribosomal RNA
Source: RNAcentral